Molecule: long non-coding RNA, 2917 nt
Organism: Haplochromis burtoni (Burton's mouthbrooder)
Lineage: Eukaryota; Metazoa; Chordata; Actinopteri; Cichliformes; Cichlidae
Product: major histocompatibility complex class I-related gene protein
Exons: 6
Source: RefSeq, a predicted model, not a curated record
CCUGUGGGGGCUGGCUUUACCCAGUUUGAAGGCACAAAAAAACAGACUCUCACGAUAAACACAGCAACACAAAAGCAACAUGAAACCUGUGUAUCUAUUACUCCUCUGCUCUAAUGUGGUAUGUCCAGUGAAACACUCAUUGGUUAGUUUUGACACUGGUUCCUCUGGAAACCCAAACAUCUCUGAGUUUGUGGGUUUCCCAGUAAUUGAUGGCAUUCAGAUGGCUUACUACUGUGACAGCAGCAACAAGAUACUGGAAGCAAGACAGGACUGGGCGAAGAAAAUAUUAGAUACCAACCCUCAGAUGUUGGAGUCGCUCACUGAUUAUUGUUUUGUGGAUCGGCCAAAUCUAUUCAGAUUAUGGAUUUCUAGUUUGAAGCAGCAGUUAAACCAAAGCAGAGCUGUCCAUAUUUUACAGAUGAUAGAAGGCUGUGAAUGGGAUGAAAACACCGGAGAGGUUACGGGGCUUUUACAGUACGGAUAUGAUGGAGAAGACUUUCUUAAAUUGGAUCUGAAGACGCUGACGUGGAUCGCACUGAAACCAGAGGCUGACAUUAUCAAACAGAGUUGGGAUGCUGACACAACCAGAAUGAAAGACCGUGAAAAAAUCCUCACUAAGAUUUGUCCAGAGUGGCUGAAGAUGUACGUGGAGAGUGGCAACAGCUCUCUGCAGAGAACAGUUCUUCCCUCAGUGUCUCUCCUCCAGAAGACUCCCUCCUCUCCAGUCAGCUGCCACGCUACAGGUUUCUAUCCUAACAGACCCUUGAUGUUCUGGAGGAAAGAUGGAGAGGAGCUCCAUGAAGGUGUGGAUCCUGGAGAGAUCCUCCCAAACAAUGAUGAGACCUUUCAGAUGAGUGUUGAUCUGAAUAUUUCAUCAGUCACACCUGAAGACUGGGGGAGGUACGACUGUGUGUUUCAGCUCUCUGGUGGUGAGGACAUCCUUGUCACCAAACUCGAUAAAACUAGUAUCAGAACAAACUGGGGGAAAAAAAUAUUUAACACUGAUGAAGAGACGUCCUCUGACAUGCUGUUCAACACCAUCGCUGCAGUCGUUGUUUUUGUUGUUCUCAUUCUCAUUGCUGCUGCUGGAUUUGCUGUUUGGAAAAAGAGGAAAGACAGACGGCCAACAUCUUGUAAGUUCCCCUUCCUUGUCUCACUUUGUGACAUGCACUCUGGAUUUAAAACUAGGAUCUUAAUAAUAUUACCAAUGGAUUUAUUCCCAUCCUUUUUCAAGACAUUUGCUUCAGAUUCCUUUAUUAUCAUACAGAUCUGUUUAAUACUGUGAUGCAUCAAACACUCUGGUUUUAAUCAAGCAUUUAAUAUUAGACCAAGAUAAGCUGAGUAAAAGAAAAUUGCAGUUUUUAAAUUGUUUUAUUCAUUAACGGAAAAAAGAUAUCCAAACCUAGACUCUGAAUGAAUAAGUUGAUUUUCUUAAGUAAACUUUUUUGAGGCAACGACUUUGCACAAUUUUUUUAAGGGAACUAAUUAGAUUUUACAGUGUAUCUGUCACUAUGUAAAAAAACAACUUGUGACUUUUUUAUGAUUUGCAGCAAAACAUGGUGCCAGGUUAACCUUCGCAUGCAUGAACCAUGUCUGUUUGUGCCUUAGAGUGAAAAAGAUAAUUAUUUUUUAUUAAUGAAUUCUUGCUGAUGCAGUUUCUCUUUCUUAUUUAUAGUCUAGCUCACUUGCUCUGCCUCACUUGAACUGAAAAAUUGAGAGGUUUUCAUUUUUACUUAUUGAGCUGCGGAGCAUUUUACAAACAGAUAAAAAGAAAUCCAGACUGAAGGUUUUUGAUUUUUCUUUUCAGCUCCUGACAAAGGAUCUGAGCUGUCAGAGCGACUAAAUCAACAAGGCUGACUGUCGUGUCUCCCUUCCCACCACAUCUCAAAAGGUUCUCUAUUAGACUGAGAGCCGGUGACUGCAGAGGGCAUUACAGACUCAGUAACUCGUGAACUCACUUUGUGACAUGUCGUGUUAUCCUGCUGGAAGGACAACAUGUUGACACGCUUGGUCAUAAAGGAGUGGACACGGUGAGCAACAUAUAUAUCCUCCAUUGCCAACACCAUUAACCAGCAGCAGAACAUCAGUCUUAUUUGCGAUAUGCAUUUCUGGACUCUUUAUGUUUGGUAAACUACCCCCUGAAGGUGGGGGUUUGUGAUUGGUUAAACUUGUUUCUCUUCUGUUUGUUUUCAGCCUAGCAUCCACAGUUUUCAAGAUCUCAUGUUCAAAUUUUGUGUGACAUGUCAUUAUGGUUGACAGCAAUGACAGCUUAAGCUGAUGUAAUUUUGUAAAAACUGUGUCUAGGUCAAGGCCACGCCCUUAAGCAGGAGUUGUGCUCUCUGAGUGCUUCUGCACUUCAGGUGCCCUGGCUAACAUUUCUUUCCAAAAAACACUGAACAAACAGGAGGACUCGGAGAGCGCAGCGCCCCACGGAUGGCAAGGGUUAUACUAAAACUUUACUGCUGUUGUUUGAUGUCUUCAUUACAACAUGCUGAAUUGGCUGAAAUCUUUCUAUAAGCUAUAAAAACCUGAGAUGAUUCCCUUAUGCCCAGAUGAACAGAAUCAACUUUUGGAGAUUUACUUACCUGGAUGAUUGAGCAUGCAUCAAGAUGUAACUCUUCAUUGUUUGUAAGCUUUAGAAGCAUUAUAUUACAGUUUGUUUUGUGCACAUAGUCACGGCGGUUUUGAGCCUCAGUUUUGUAUUGUAUAACAGCCAUUGAGCUAACGGCAGGAGCUAGAAAUGUUGCUAUUAUUAUCCAUUUGGUGAGGAAACAUGUUCCGAUAUAUGUUUAGUAACCACUUUAGUAUUUUGGUUUAUUAUUUAGCUUUUGCUUCCACUCUGUGACAUUGAGCAGUACAGGAUGUGAAAUAUUUAUGUUCAUUUUCAUUGCAAUAAACAACUGCAUGAGAGAAGCAA